UAACGCUGGCGGCGUGCUAACACAUGCAAGUCGAACGGGGUAGCAAUACCCAGUGGCAGACGGGUGAGUAACACGUGGUCAACCUACCUCUGUGUGGGGAAUAACUAGCCGAAAGGUUAGCUAAUACCGCAUACGAUCGUUUUGGGGCAUCUCGAGACGAUGAAAGGAGCAAUCCGCACAGAGAGGGGACUGCGUCCCAUUAGUUAGUUGGUGGGGUAACGGCCUACCAAGACUCCGAUGGGUAGCUGGCUUGAGAGAGCGACCAGCCACACUGGAACUGAGACACGGUCCAGACUCCUACGGGAGGCAGCAGUGAGGAAUUUUCCGCAAUGGGCGAAAGCCUGACGGAGCGACGCCGCGUGUGGGAAGAAGGCCUUCGGGUCGUAAACCACUGUCGAAGGGGACGAUAUUGACGGUACCCUUGGAGGAAGCCCCGGCUAACUACGUGCCAGCAGCCGCGGUAAGACGUAGGGGGCAAGCGUUGUCCGGAAUUAUUGGGCGUAAAGCGCUCGCAGGUGGAUCAACAAGUCUGCAAGCAAAGCCCCGGGCUCAACUCGGGAAUCCGUGUGGAAACUGUUGA
Molecule: ribosomal RNA, 580 nt
Filed under: uncultured bacterium
Lineage: Bacteria
Description: bacterial SSU rRNA
Rfam family: Bacterial small subunit ribosomal RNA
Source: RNAcentral